Molecule: ribosomal RNA, 492 nt
Filed under: uncultured bacterium
Lineage: Bacteria
Description: partial 16S ribosomal RNA
Rfam family: Bacterial small subunit ribosomal RNA
Source: RNAcentral
AGUGAACGCUGGCGGUAGGCCUAACACAUGCAAGUCGAACGGCAGCUCAGUAAGAGCUUGCUCUUACGGGUGGCGAGUGGCGGACGAGUGAGGAAUACAUCGGAAUCUACUUUUUCGUGGGGGAUAACGUAGGGAAACUUACGCUAAUACCGCAUACGACCUACGGGUGAAAGCAGGGGAUCUUCGGACCUUGCGCGAUUGAAUGAGCCGAUGUCGGAUUAGCUAGUUGGCGGGGUAAAGGCCCACCAAGGCGACGAUCCGUAGCUGGUCUGAGAGGAUGAUCAGCCACACUGGAACUGAGACACGGUCCAGACUCCUACGGGAGGCAGCAGUGGGGAAUAUUGGACAAUGGGCGCAAGCCUGAUCCAGCCAUACCGCGUGGGUGAAGAAGGCCUUCGGGUUGUAAAGCCCUUUUGUUGGGAAAGAAAAGCAGCAGGUUAAUACCCCGCUGUUCUGACGGUACCCAAAGAAUAAGCACCGGCUAACUUCGUG